UGGGGAAUUUUGGACAAUGGGCGCAAGCCUGAUCCAGCAAUGCCGCGUGCAGGAUGAAGGCCUUCGGGUUGUAAACUGCUUUUGUACGGAACGAAAAAGCUCUCUCUAAUACAGGGGGUGAAUGACGGUACCGUAAGAAUAAGCACCGGCUAACUACGUGCCAGCAGCCGCGGUAAUACGUAGGGUGCAAGCGUUAAUCGGAAUUACUGGGCGUAAAGCGUGCGCAGGCGGUUUUGUAAGACAGAGGUGAAAUCCCCGGGCUCAACCUGGGAACUGCCUUUGUGACUGCAAAGCUGGAGUGCGGCAGAGGGGGAUCGAAUUCCGCGUGUAGCAGUGAAAUGCGUAGAUAUGCGGAGGAACACCGAUGGCGAAGGCAAUCCCCUGGGCCUGCACUGACGCUCAUGCACGAAAGCGUGGGGAGCAAACA
RNAcentral lists this ribosomal RNA (427 nucleotides) under uncultured bacterium. Its description in RNAcentral is "bacterial SSU rRNA". It matches the Rfam family "Bacterial small subunit ribosomal RNA", at positions 355 to 774 of the family's 1533-position model. The record is from RNAcentral.